This 894-nucleotide non-coding RNA is filed under the name Pongo abelii (Sumatran orangutan). The record is from RNAcentral. Lineage: Eukaryota; Metazoa; Chordata; Mammalia; Primates; Hominidae.
AGUUGACGGUCAAGUCCAACGCUCGCCGCAGACAUCUAGUGGACCGGGCGCUCGCGGACGGAAGCGAACAGACCCAGUUGGACCCGUAUGACACGAAGCCGACCCACCUUUGCUGCCAUCUAACUCCGCUGACCUGCCCACCGUUCCCCCACUGUCCGCUGGUUGACCCGGGCAGCGGAGAGAGGAGGGUGUUGUCAAUGGAAAUAUGGAUUCUUCUACAGCAAACAUGUACAUUGAUACCAUGUGGAACAAGGAUAGUGGGAAAACCUCUGAUUGUGAGGACGUAGAACUGAGAAGAGCAUAUUAAACGUGAUUAAAAAAACACUUCUGGAGCAUGUUGUCUUCAAGAAAGUGGUGCCCAGACAGUCAGGAUUGUGUUACAUUUUAAUAGGAAUGGGGAUAUUUGUGAUAUACUGACAAACCAAGACAGGUGACUAUAAAACUGCAAUGUAAAGUGUCAGCUUCUCCUCCUGCCUUUAUAGUAGACAUCUGAGAACCUAACCCCUGUCAGUGUAUUCUUGGGGUUGAAUCUCAAGUGAUCCAUAGGAUCUUAGAUACAGCAGAUGAAAAUGGGCUUUUCUAUCUUCCUAAGUAAACAGCAAUGAAGCUGAGAGAAAGACGAUAUUGCUGGAAGUCAUGAUAAAGUCUAUCUUCUGUGACCAUAUGUUUCCUUAGAGAGUUUUAGACAAUGACCCUCAUCUAAAAAAUUGUGGAAAAGGACUCUCACCAGUCUGUUAAUAUGCAUGUAUAUGAAAGAAAUUACUGGUAAACUUCUAAGGCAGGCAUUGGUGUUACUUUAUCUUUAUUGUGUCUAUGAAAUGAUUGUGUGUGUUUUUUCUUUGAUUAGACAAUGAGAUUCCCAAAUAAAUUUUAUUAAAACCAAAAAAACCUUUA